AGUUCUUUGAUGCUACAUUCUUCUCUAGCCAGAAAUACAAGGAAACCACUGUUUGCUGUGGCAUUUUGGCAGAACUCUGAAGUGUGGUCUGGAUCUGGGAACUCACAAUCCAAGAAUAAGGCACCAUUUACGUACAAAAUUGUUGAAUUUGGAUGGAAACUAGGUUCAGCCAUAUUUGUGAAGCCACUGUCUUGCAGGGUCAAAAAGAGCUUAUUUUUCAAAUUAUCCUCUACUGCUUAUGUCUUCAGUCUUUCUCCCUCUGCCUCCUGCUGCCACCUGCUCCCACCUGGGGGACCUGCCUCCCUGCAGAAAGCAAGCAUCCUGCUCUGGGCCAUGUGGUAGCUUAGUGGUAAAGACUCUCUCCCUGGAGGUGGGACCUGUGGUUUCUGGGCAAGAACUGUGACGGAUGAUCAAGUGAAUGGACCUUUUGUCAUGGAGCUGUCCUGAAGCUCAGAUCAGCACUGCCUGGGUUCAUGAUGUAUCUCUCUUGCUGACAGUACACAAAUUCAUGGUCUAGUCAGGAUUAAUUUCUCCAGGAUAAUGUCACAACUACACAAGUUUUGCAUCUUCUAUUGUCUGGAUCUAUGUGAAUAUAAAGUAAUAAGUAACCGCAUCAUAUCCUGGAGUAAAGGAAGACUUUGCAAGUCACACAUAGACUUCUAGCUGAAUCUUUAUAAAGUUGGUGGCUGAAGGUCAGAUCUGUUUAUACAGAAGGUACAUUUCUCUGUAAAAACCUUGCUCUUAACCUCUGUACUAUCUAUCAAUCACAUGAUCAAGCUGCUAAUUCAUCAGGACCGUGUCUAUCUUUCACAUGAUGCUCAAAUCUAGGGUUCCAUUUUUUGAGUCAAAGUUGAGUUCACAUCUCUUCUUUUCUACUUGCUGUGUCAUUGUGAACAAAUUACUUAAGUUGUAUAGGAUUAGAUUUACUUAUCUAUAAAAUGGAGAUAAUAGUAGUACCAACUCCCUAGGUUGUUAUCAGGAUUAAAUGAGAUAAUGCAUGCAUAAUGCUUAGCACAGUACCGGGGGGCAGGAUGCCUCUAAUAAAUGAUAGCUGUUGCUUUUAUAACUUGUAGCAAUAGGCCUGUCUGUCUCAGUGAUCAAAAGGUUUUUAGGUAAUUGUUUUAAGCUACUUUUAACCACAUUUUUCAUGUAACACCUUAUUUUUCAUGUAAUCCUUGAUAAAGCCUCAUGGAUUUUUCCUGCAAAUAUGUCUUCUUGUAAUAUUUGUUUAUUCAGUGGGAUUAGUCAAUCAAUAUGGCCAUUAUUUCUGAUUUUUCUUUCUCUUAGGCUUAGCAUAGUGUUUUUUUUUUUUUUUUCAGGCCUUGGUCCUGCUGGUUCGUGAUAAUAUGCAUGACUUUCUAAACUUCAUCUUUGUCUAUUUUUUUUUGACAAAGUUUUUCAUAGCAACAGCUGGAAUAAUACCACAUAGCUCAAACAGAAAGUCUCAGGCUUCAUUAUUUCCCCACAAUCACCAUGUGACAAUUUGAAUCUCUGUAAGGCAGAGCUUUGGGGAAGAUUAGAAACUGAAAUGAAAGGCAAGUUUCUAGCUGGAAUUUAGAUCAAAGAAGAUAUUGUCCUGGUAGGCUUGCUGUGUACAAGAGAGAGCCAUGGGCUCAUUGACCAGCUUGACCACAAUAAUUCUUAAAGACUCUUCAAUGAUACUUUGCAGUUUAUACUGGUAUAUGUUAUUAAAGGAUUGUACAUC
Molecule: long non-coding RNA, 1705 nt
Organism: Pongo pygmaeus (Bornean orangutan)
Lineage: Eukaryota; Metazoa; Chordata; Mammalia; Primates; Hominidae
Exons: 3
Source: RefSeq, a predicted model, not a curated record